Long non-coding RNA from Suricata suricatta (meerkat), 424 nucleotides. RefSeq lists it as uncharacterized. The transcript is spliced from 2 exons. The record is from RefSeq and is a predicted model, not a curated record. Lineage: Eukaryota; Metazoa; Chordata; Mammalia; Carnivora; Herpestidae.
GAGCUGGGCACCUGCCUCCAGGCGCCCCCUGAGGCCGGCUGUCACCCACUAAGUUCUCUACUGCUGCCUAUCUCUAGGCUUCUGCUCAACCUGCAGCCCUGAGGUAUCUGCUCAGUUGCUGUCACACACCUGUACUUGAGAGCCUUAUGCUCUGCCUUCUGAGCCAGUAGAGCCCAUCUUUCUUUGCCAUUUGCAAGCAGCUCCUCUCUCUUCUGUGUUCCACUCUUUCCAAAGCACCACAAAAGAAUUGCCUGGGCUCCAAGAGUUUAACAGGUGCUGGAAGAAGAUAGGCACUGCCACCAUGUUGCGAAUGGGAAAACGAAGGAGAAAAAGGACUACCUCAGUACUAUUUAAAAUGGGAACAGGUUCUGUAUUUCCAGAUAUCCAGCUUUUGUCUACAAUAAAGUGUUUCAGAGUAUAACUA